CAGAGCGAACGCUGGCGGCAGGCCUAACACAUGCAAGUCGAACGAACUCUUCGGAGUUAGUGGCGGACGGGUGAGUAACACGUGGGAACGUGCCUUUUGGUUCGGAAUAACUCAGGGAAACUUGUGCUAAUACCGAAUGUGCCCUUCGGGGGAAAGAUUUAUCGCCAUUAGAGCGGCCCGCGUCUGAUUAGCUAGUUGGUGAGGUAACGGCUCACCAAGGCGACGAUCAGUAGCUGGUCUGAGAGGAUGAUCAGCCACACUGGGACUGAGACACGGCCCAGACUCCUACGGGAGGCAGCAGUGGGGAAUAUUGGGCAAUGGGCGCAAGCCUGACCCAGCAACGCCGCGUGAAGGAAGAAGGCUUUCGGGUUGUAAACUUCUUUUAUCAGGGACGAAGAACGUGACGGUACCUGAUGAAUAAGCCACGGCUAACUACGUGCCAGCCGCUGC
Molecule: ribosomal RNA, 450 nt
Filed under: uncultured bacterium
Lineage: Bacteria
Description: bacterial SSU rRNA
Rfam family: Bacterial small subunit ribosomal RNA
Source: RNAcentral